This 468-nucleotide ribosomal RNA is filed under the name uncultured bacterium. RNAcentral describes it as "partial 16S ribosomal RNA". It matches the Rfam family "Bacterial small subunit ribosomal RNA", at positions 28 to 507 of the family's 1533-position model. The record is from RNAcentral.
GACGAACGCUGGCGGCGUGCCUAACACAUGCAAGUCGAACGAAAAGGCCCUGCUUUUGUGGGGUGGUCGAGUGGCGAAGGGGUGAGUAACACGUGAGUAACAUGUACCUGUCUUUGGGAGAUCUUAAGGAAACAGGGGAUCUUACCGCAUAGGAGAUUCUGCUGCAUGGUGGGGGUUGGAAAGUUUCGGCGGUUGGGGAUGGACUAGCGGAUUAUGCGCUUGUUGGUGGGGUAGUGGCAUACCAGGUCUAUGAAGGGUAGGACGCCUAGGAGGGUGACCGGCCACAUUAGGACUGAGAGACGACACAGACCCCAACGGGAGGCAGCGGUGGAGAAUAUUACACAGUAGGCGGAAGUCAGAUGUGACAACGCCGCGUGCGGGAAGACGUGCUACGGGUGGUAAACCUAUGUCGCCUUAGACGAGGCGAUAGUGACGGUAACGGGUAAAGAAGCACCGGCUAACUACGUG